RNAcentral lists this ribosomal RNA (563 nucleotides) under uncultured bacterium. RNAcentral's name for it is "bacterial SSU rRNA". It matches the Rfam family "Bacterial small subunit ribosomal RNA", at positions 338 to 916 of the family's 1533-position model. The record is from RNAcentral.
CCUACGGGAGGCAGCAGUCGGGAAUUUUGCUCAAUGGGCGAAAAGCCUGAAGCAGCAACGCCGCGUGAGGGAUGACGGCCUUCGGGUUGUAAACCUCUUUUCUCAGGGACGAUGAUGACGGUACCUGAGGAAUAAGCCACGGCUAACUACGUGCCAGCAGCCGCGGUAAUACGUAGGUGGCGAGCGUUGUCCGGAUUUACUGGGCGUAAAGAGCGCGCAGGCGGUCGUGCAAGUCGGAUGUGAAAGCCCCCGGCUCAACUGGGGAGGGUCAUUCGAUACUGCUCGACUUGAAGGCGGGAGAGGGAAGCGGAAUUCCCGGUGUAGUGGUGAAAUGCGUAGAUAUCGGGAGGAACACCAGUGGCGAAGGCGGCUUCCUGGCCCGUUCUUGACGCUGAGGCGCGAAAGCUAGGGGAGCAAACGGGAUUAGAUACCCCGGUAGUCCUAGCCGUAAACGAUGGACACUAGGUGUUGGUGGUAUCAACCCCGCCAGUGCCGAAGCUAACGCAUUAAGUGUCCCGCCUGGGGAGUACGGCCGCAAGGCUAAAACUCAAAGGAAUUGACGG